RNAcentral lists this ribosomal RNA (376 nucleotides) under uncultured bacterium. RNAcentral describes it as "bacterial SSU rRNA". It matches the Rfam family "Bacterial small subunit ribosomal RNA", at positions 524 to 898 of the family's 1533-position model. The record is from RNAcentral.
UACGGAGGGUGCAAGCGUUGUCCGGAAUCAUUGGGCGUAAAGAGUUCGUAGGUGGUAUGUUAAGUCUGGUGUUAAAGCCCGAAGCUCAACUUCGGUUCGGCACUGGAUACUGGCAAACUUGAAUGUGGUAGAGGUAAAGGGAAUUCCUGGUGUAGCGGUGAAAUGCGUAGAUAUCAGGAGGAACAUCGGUGGCGUAAGCGCUUUACUGGGCCAUAAUUGACACUGAGGAACGAAAGCCGGGGUAGCAAAUGGGAUUAGAUACCCCAGUAGUCCCGGCCGUAAACGAUGGAUACUAGGUGUUGCGGGUAUCGACCCCUGCAGUGCCGUAGCUAACGCGAUAAGUAUCCCGCCUGGGGAGUACGCACGCAAGUGUGAA